This 250-nucleotide ribosomal RNA is filed under the name uncultured bacterium. RNAcentral describes it as "partial 16S ribosomal RNA". It matches the Rfam family "Bacterial small subunit ribosomal RNA", at positions 1252 to 1500 of the family's 1533-position model. The record is from RNAcentral.
ACAUCGCGAGGUGAAGCAAAUCCCAAAAAACGUAGUCUCAGUUCAGAUUGUAGGCUGCAACUCGCCUACAUGAAGUCGGAAUUGCUAGUAAUCGCGGAUCAGCAUGCCGCGGUGAAUACGUUCCCGGGCCUUGUACACACCGCCCGUCACACCAUGAGAGCCGGUAACACCCGAAGUCAGUAGCCUAACCGCAAGGGGGGCGCUGCCGAAGGUGGGAUUGGUAAUUGGGGUGAAGUCGUAACAAGGUAAC